AUGACCUUAUUGCACGGUUCAGAGAGCACUUUGUUGGUUGUUUCUAGAGAUCAUGAAGGAUCAAAUUUGUUCGUCGUUGUGGAGGGCAAAGACCGCUACCCUGCUUGUUGCUACACGACAACACGCAUCAGUCAUUUCAUAUUUUGUAUUGAUCUCAGAGCUACAUGCUUACUUGUUUUGUUGUUUUUGGAGACUAAUGAAGGAUCAAAUUUGUUCGUCGCUGUGGAGGGCGAACACCGCUACCGUGCUUGUGGCCACACGACAACACACAUCGGUAGUGUCAAUCAACCACAUGAUGUUUCUUGGGCAUUUUCCCCUCUGCCUACAUCUCUUUUACCUCAACAAAUUCAAGAAAUCAAGAUCUCUAACCCUGCUUUUCUCCUUGAUUUUUUAACUAACAUAUUUUAUAUGAUGCCCAAUUCUUUAUUUGAUGAAUUAUCUAGCUUAUACUCAAGGAUAUUUUAA
This 465-nucleotide ribosomal RNA is filed under the name Triticum aestivum (bread wheat). Its description in RNAcentral is "partial small subunit ribosomal RNA". The record is from RNAcentral. Lineage: Eukaryota; Viridiplantae; Streptophyta; Magnoliopsida; Poales; Poaceae.